Molecule: ribosomal RNA, 440 nt
Filed under: uncultured bacterium
Lineage: Bacteria
Description: partial 16S ribosomal RNA
Rfam family: Bacterial small subunit ribosomal RNA
Source: RNAcentral
CCUACGGGGGGCAGCAGUAGGGAAUAUUGCUCAAUGGGGGAAACCCUGAAGCAGCAACGCCGCGUGGAGGAUGAAGGUUUUCGGAUUGUAAACUCCUUUUGUUAGAGAAGAUAAUGACGGUAUCUAACGAAUAAGCACCGGCUAACUCCGUACCAGCAGCCGCGGUAAUACGGAGGGUGCAAGCGUUACUCGGAAUCACUGGGCGUAAAGGGCGCGUAGGCGGGAUAGCAAGUCAGAUGUGAAAUCCUAUGGCUUAACCAUAGAACUGCAUUUGAAACUGUUAUUCUAGAGUAUGGGAGAGGUAGGUGGAAUUCUUGGUGUAGGGGUAAAAUCCGUAGAGAUCAAGAGGAAUACUCAUUGCGAAGGCGACCUGCUAGAACAUAACUGACGCUGAUGCGCGAAAGCGUGGGGAGCAAACAGGAUUAGAUACCCCAGUAGUC